RNAcentral lists this non-coding RNA (156 nucleotides) under Paramesorhizobium leguminum. RNAcentral describes it as "Phyllobacterium leguminum 6S / SsrS RNA". It matches the Rfam family "6S / SsrS RNA". From Rfam's summary of the family: E. coli 6S RNA was the first non coding RNA to be sequenced, but its function was unknown until recently. The record is from Rfam by way of RNAcentral. Lineage: Bacteria; Pseudomonadati; Pseudomonadota; Alphaproteobacteria; Hyphomicrobiales; Phyllobacteriaceae.
GGCGUACUGCGCUUCGCGACAGGAGUAACUUAUUCCCCGGGGCCUUAAUUGAUCCUAGGGAGCUGUCCCUGGAAAGGCCCCUGGGCUUUUCUACACGGCGCCCACCUACUUUGUAGGUUUCCGGGAUCAACCUCUCCAUCGGUUGUGUGGUCGCCA